UAUUGGACAAUGGGCGCAAGCCUGAUCCAGCCAUGCCGCGUGGAUGAUGAAGGCCCUAGGCUUGUAAAGUCCUUUCGGCGGGGAAGAUAAUGACGGUACCCGCAGAAGAAGCCCCGGCUAACUUCGUGCCAGCAGCCGCGGUAAUACGAAGGGGGCUAGCGUUGCUCGGAAUCACUGGGCGUAAAGCGCACGUAGGCGGACUCUUAAGUCGGUGGUGAAAUCCUGGAGCUCAACUCCAGAACUGCCUUCGAUACUGAGAGUCUCGAGUCCGGGAGAGGUGAGUGGAACUGCGAGUGUAGAGGUGAAAUUCGUAGAUAUUCGCAAGAACACCAGUGGCGAAGGCGGCUCACUGGCCCGGUACUGACGCUGAGGUGCGAAG
RNAcentral lists this ribosomal RNA (379 nucleotides) under uncultured bacterium. RNAcentral's name for it is "bacterial SSU rRNA". It matches the Rfam family "Bacterial small subunit ribosomal RNA", at positions 362 to 758 of the family's 1533-position model. The record is from RNAcentral.